Molecule: ribosomal RNA, 301 nt
Filed under: uncultured bacterium
Lineage: Bacteria
Description: partial 16S ribosomal RNA
Rfam family: Bacterial small subunit ribosomal RNA
Source: RNAcentral
CAGUAGCCGCGGUAAUACAGAGGGUGCAAGCGUUAAUCGGAAUUACUGGGCGUAAAGCGCGCGUAGGUGGUUUGUUAAGUUGGAUGUGAGAUCCCCGGGCUCAACCUGGGAACUGCAUUCAAAACUGACUGACUAGAGUAUGGUAGAGGGUGGUGGAAUUUCCUGUGUAGCGGUGAAAUGCGUAGAUAUAGGAAGGAACACCAGUGGCGAAGGCGACCACCUGGACUAAUACUGACACUGAGGUGCGAAAGCGUGGGGGGCAAACAGGAUUAGAUACCCCCGUAGUCCCUGUCUCUUAUAC